GACGAACGCUGGCGGCGUGCCUAACACAUGCAAGUCGAACGGAGAUUUCAGCAAUGAAAUCUUAGUGGCGAACGGGUGAGUAACGCGUAGACAACCUGCCUUUUAGAUGGGGACAACACCGCGAAAGUGGUGCUAAUACCGAAUGUUGUAUUUUAAUCGCAUGAUUGAGAUACUAAAGAUGGCCUCUGUAUAUGCUAUCGCCAAAAGAUGGGUCUGCGACUGAUUAGCUAGUUGGUGAGGUAAUGGCUCACCAAGGCGACGAUAAGUAGCCGGUCUGAGAGGAUGAACGGCCACACGGGGACUGAGACACGGCCCAGACUCCUACGGGAGGCAGCAGUGGGGAAUCUUCCGCAAUGGACGAAAGUCUGACGGAGCAACGCCGCGUGAGUGAAGAAGGUUUUCGGAUCGUAAAACUCUGUUUUCAGGGACGAAUGUGCAGCUUGCAAAUAAUGAGUUGUAAUGACGGUACCUGAGUAGAAAGCCACGGCUAACUACGUGCCAGCCGCCGCCGUAA
This 514-nucleotide ribosomal RNA is filed under the name uncultured bacterium. Its description in RNAcentral is "partial 16S ribosomal RNA". It matches the Rfam family "Bacterial small subunit ribosomal RNA", at positions 28 to 523 of the family's 1533-position model. The record is from RNAcentral.